UACGUAGGGCGCAAGCGUUGUCCGGAAUCAUUGGGCGUAAAGAGCUCGUAGGUGGUCUGUUACGUCUGCUGUGAAAGCCCCGGGCUUAACCCGGGAAUGGCAUUGAAUACUGCUGGACUGGAGGAUCGGAGGGGGGACUGGAAUUCUUGGUGUAGCAGUGAAAUGCGUAGAUAUCAAGAGGAACACCAGUGGCGAAGGCGAGUCCCUGGACGAUACCUGACACUGAGGCACGAAAGCUAGGGGAGCAAACAGG
This 253-nucleotide ribosomal RNA is filed under the name uncultured bacterium. RNAcentral's name for it is "partial 16S ribosomal RNA". It matches the Rfam family "Bacterial small subunit ribosomal RNA", at positions 524 to 776 of the family's 1533-position model. The record is from RNAcentral.